Molecule: RNase P RNA, 375 nt
Filed under: Salmonella enterica subsp. enterica serovar Infantis
Lineage: Bacteria; Pseudomonadati; Pseudomonadota; Gammaproteobacteria; Enterobacterales; Enterobacteriaceae
Description: RNase P RNA component class A
Rfam family: Bacterial RNase P class A
About the family: Ribonuclease P (RNase P) is a ubiquitous endoribonuclease, found in archaea, bacteria and eukarya as well as chloroplasts and mitochondria. Its best characterised activity is the generation of mature 5'-ends of tRNAs by cleaving the 5'-leader elements of precursor-tRNAs.
Source: RNAcentral
GAAGCUGACCAGACAGUCGCCGCUUCGUCGUCGUCCUUUCGUGGAGACGGGCGGAGGGGAGGAAAGUCCGGGCUCCAUAGGGCAGGGUGCCAGGUAACGCCUGGGGGGGAAACCCACGACCAGUGCAACAGAGAGCAAACCGCCGAUGGCCCACGUAAGUGGGAUCAGGUAAGGGUGAAAGGGUGCGGUAAGAGCGCACCGCGCGGCUGGUAACAGUCCGUGGCACGGUAAACUCCACCCGGAGCAAGGCCAAAUAGGGGUUCAUAAGGUACGGCCCGUACUGAACCCGGGUAGGCUGCUUGAGCCAGUGAGCGAUUGCUGGCCUAGAUGAAUGACUGUCCACGACAGAACCCGGCUUAUCGGUCAGUUUCACCU